Molecule: long non-coding RNA, 2354 nt
Organism: Scylla paramamosain (green mud crab)
Lineage: Eukaryota; Metazoa; Arthropoda; Malacostraca; Decapoda; Portunidae
Exons: 4
Source: RefSeq, a predicted model, not a curated record
UCAUCGAGUCGGAGAUCGUAAGGAUGGCAGGUAGUAGGUGGAGGUCCAUGAUCGCCAUCGUCGCAAGACCGGCACCUCGGUAACGUAAAAACCUUGGACAGCCUACCGUAGUCAAUUACUGAAAUACCUUGUUACCAUAUCUCCAAUACCUUUUUCCUCAUUUCGUCAUUAUGUAGCAUUUUGAGUCUCGCUGUAAGAUUAAAUUAAAUGAUGCAGUGAAAAUUAUCAUAAGAAUGUUGCUUCACUGCAAGGAGAAAUCUAGUAAAAGAGUGAUGCAACGAGACAAUAAGUGUUUGUGUCAUUGGCAGACACAAGUUUUAUUUAUUUUUCAAGAUACUGCAGUGAAAAAUGCUUGGAAUUGAUUAAGAUUUAUAGUGAAUUACAAAAUGGUACUUGAAGAGCAGAAACAAGGCCCCGUGUGAUGAUAAGUAAACAAUCACUCGUAGAUAUUUGAUAAAGUAUCUCGUUACAGGGUCUUCGAUACUUCGUUAGAUAUUUCGUCAUUACGUGGUGUUUAGAUUGCCUUGUGGCACUAGGUAAAAUAAAUAAAUGACAGAAUGUAAAUAAAGUUCUAAUGUGAUGAUAACUGAAUUCGUAACUUGGAGGGCAAGGAUGUUACAUUUUAUUCUUGAGUAAGGUUGGUACACUGGUAGCCCUCGCAAAGCAACAACGGCCAGCAGGUGGCGCGCUGCGCCGCCAGACCUCACCACUGCAAUCCACGUGAACUAGUCAGCUGCUGUUCUCUCUGGCCAUGAUGAAGGGAGCCAUGUCACCUCCAGCCUAGCAGCGCCGUGAGCAACGCCGGCAGUGUGCAGUCAGAUGAUUAAUUAACUACCAUCACUUCUUGUAGCUGUCUGAGUUUUGCAUGAGUACUCUCAAGGAAUAUUAUCUUGUCAAUGAGUUUGACAUGUUUACUACAGAGCUGUAAAUCACAACUGACAUAUAUCUCCUACCACGUCCUUCCCCACACUGGUCAAAAGAGAUUACCCACAUCCUUUGUGAUCAUCUACGAGUGCCAGUAGGCAGAGAGGAUUGGCACUGCUUGCUUACUUGAGAAAAUCAGCAUUCUCUUGUUUGUCUACCCUUACAUAAACCUCAAUAUCCAAAUCCAGUCUCAUCUUUGCUACUCUGUCUACUUGUCCCCUGCAGUCAACAUCUCUAACUGAGGAUUUUAGGGUAGCUCUUGGUGUGGCCACCAAAUAUUUUGUGGCAGUCAGACAUAUUAAUAAUGCCAGCAGUGAGACAUUCACUCAUAUGAUAAAAAAAUCUAUAGAACUUAAAAAAAAGUAACUUCCAGAUAUCCUAAUACUUGAUUGCAUUCCUUCUCUUCUGUAGAAUGUCCUGCAGUUGGUUAGGGAAGGAGUCUACAAGUUUUUGUAGAAGUUCCUUUGGCAGUUUAUUCAACAGUUUCACCAGCACUUUUCUUCAAUUUUGCUAAAGAACUAAUGUCCACUUCUGGAAGCUCCCUUUUCAUUAUAGACCAGAUUUUCAAUGGAAUUCAACUAAUGACUAUUAGGUGGCCAGUCAAAGUAAUCCAGAGUACACGUAUCAAAACAUUCUAAAACUAAUUUUGUGUGUGACAGAGAGCAUUGUCCAACAUAAAAGAUUCUGCCUUACAUUUGUUAAAACAAUCUUCAAGAUUGUUGUGCAGGAUGUCUAAAUAUCACUCGCUGUUCACAGUAUCACCUUUAUCAAGAAACAGAAGCUUACCUACUUCAUGGUAUGAAAAACAUGCCCACACUAUGAGUGAAUCUGGAUGUCGCUCCACAGUGUACUAUGGGUUAUAGCGGUCAGAGUUCCUGGGCUGCCUCAAUUUUGCAUGUUUAGUUCCUGUCACAGUAAAGACACUUUCAAAUGACCACAUUUUCUCCAGGGGUAAAUCUUAGUGUUUCUUAGCAAGAGCAAGUUGCUUUCCUAAGUAAGAGUGGCUUUUUAGGAGCUGACCUUGAAAAAAAACAAAACAUGUAACACCACGCUGCACACAUCACCCAGUAAGGCAUGAUUGCUUUCUUUCAGUUAAUGUGCUUUGCUUAUUGGUUGAGAAGAGUGUUAGAAUUAAUUACAUUUCUGUGGUUGUCCACCUUUUAGUAAGUGUGCAGUUAUCUAUCUGUCCCCUGCCUUGUAGCAAUGCUUCAACCACCUUUUAACCCCUUCCUUACCGCAUCACCUGGUGAUGUAAACAAAGCGUUCCCCCUCAUACCACAACGCCCUUGCCUGUACAUCUGUGCACCUCACGCCCAUUGUUUUACCUAAAGUUUAUUUCUAACUCAAUGAUAUUCACUUAAUUUGAAAUAUAUUUUUAUAGCGAGAGAAAAAAAACACAAAACAGUUACUACAGUAAUGGAAGAAAAUGU